GUUGAUGUGGCAGAUUAUAUGCGAAGAGUUUAAGUCUCUUUAAAGUUUUACCUUCAAUA
RNAcentral lists this transfer RNA (59 nucleotides) under Hygrobates longiporus. Its description in RNAcentral is "tRNA-Leu". The record is from RNAcentral. Lineage: Eukaryota; Metazoa; Arthropoda; Arachnida; Trombidiformes; Hygrobatidae.